RNAcentral lists this ribosomal RNA (253 nucleotides) under uncultured prokaryote. RNAcentral's name for it is "partial 16S ribosomal RNA". It matches the Rfam family "Bacterial small subunit ribosomal RNA", at positions 524 to 776 of the family's 1533-position model. The record is from RNAcentral.
UACAGAGGUCUCGAGCGUUGUUCGGAUUCAUUGGGCGUAAAGGGUGCGUAGGUGGUCAGGUAAGUCGGAGGUGAAAGCCCGGGGCUCAACCCCGGAAUUGCCUUUAAGACUGCAUCGCUUGAAUUGUGGAGAGGUAAGUGGAAUUCCGAGUGUAGAGGUGAAAUUCGUAGAUAUUCGGAAGAACACCAGUGGCGAAGGCGACUUACUGGACACAUAUUGACGCUGAGGUGCGAAAGCGUGGGGAGCAAACAGG